CAGGCGUGAGCCACCGCGCCCGGCUGAGAGUCAAUUUUUAUACUCUCUCUAAGGAAGACAGGCUCUCUGAGCUGUGAAUUUCUCAACUACCUGAACUUCACCCCAACCUACCUGAAGAAUAUGCAAUUACCAUUAGUCACAGUGGCUCAUUACGUCAAUGAGCUGGGAAACCCUCUCUCUCCCACCUCUGCUGGCACGAAACAGUAUCAGGCCUGAAGAAUCAAGCCCCAAUUCCUCAGCCUCACAUUCACAGCCAUCUGUGAUUUGGCAUCAAGCUUCUUUUCUGACUCUGGCUCAAACUACUAUUCUUUAAUGCACUCAAUGCUUCAACUCACAUCAGAUAUUCCAGGCACUUCUAAGCUUCCAAGUACUUAUUUAUGUAACUCAUAAACCAGAAUACCUCCCCCCUCUCCCGUCCUUCCAAGCCUUUUCUAUUCCUAUUUACACUUUGAAGUCCUAUUCAAACAAGAACUCUGCCAUGAAGUCUUCUUGGAUAUCUUCAGGUGGAAUUAAUUCUCUACUUCUUUUUUUCAAUAGCUUAUCUAUAACUCUGUUCUAGUGUAUUUAUCACUCCAUCUUAUUUUAUAAUCAGAGACAGUUGUUCCAGUAACUCUUGUAACUCUCUUUCCACUGAGUCUGAUCAUUCUGGUUUUAAGGACAGGUACCAUCCUGUUCCCAGCACCUUCCACAGAGCAGCUUGAUAAAUACUGGUUGACUUGAAAAGAUGAGCCAUGGCACAUCCUUUCAGCACCUCAGGAGGUGCCGGUGCCUUGAGCCGUGGCACUGGCGUAUGCUGACACUGCUGCCUCCAGUAGUUCUUUUGUUCUCUUCCCUUUAUCACCCCUACACCUUGGAGGUGAACUUCCCUCCUGACGGCGUAAAGACUAGUUUGAAAAGGGAGAGCCAAGAACCAACUGAAUCUUCUCAGAAUGGAAACACUAUAUUAUUUCAGAGGAGUUAAUUGCAGAAGGAAAAUGGGUCAAGCUUGAAAAAACAACAUACAUGGCUCCUAUUGGUAAAACUGGAACUUGGGACUCAGUGAAACAUACAACCAGGAAAGAACAGACUGGUGAUGAUGUAGCACUCAUCCCUGUGCUGCAGAGAACACGUCACUACGAGUGUAUCGUUCUGGUGAAACAGUCCUGACCACCAAUGGGUGGCUACUGCAUACAGUUCCCUGCAGGUGUCAUAGAUGAUGGUGAAACCCCAGGAGCAGCCGCUCUUUGGGAGCUUGAGGAAGAAACUGGCUACAAAGGGGACAUUGCCGAAUGUUCUCCAGCGGUCUGUAUGGACCCAGGUUCGUCAAACUGUACCACACACAUCGUGACAGUAAUCAUUAACGGAGAUGACGCAGAAAAUGUAAGGCCCAAGCCAAAGCCAGGGGAUGGAGAAUUUGUGGAAGUCAUUUCGUCACCCAAGAAUGACCUGCUGCAGAGACUCAAUGCUCUCGUAGCUGAAAAACAUCUUACAGUGGAUGCCAGAGUCUAUUCCCAUGCUCUAGCACUGAAAUAUGCAAAUGCGAAGCCAUUUGAAGUGCCCGUCCUGAAAUUUUAAGGCCAAAGAUGACACUGGCCAUUUUUGUAAACGAGACUACCAGGCCUUCUUCACAAAGACUCUGUAUUCAACUUAGUUUAAUGUAGAUUUGAACUAGCUUUUUUGUAAAAUAAAAGCAGCACAAAAU
Nomascus leucogenys (northern white-cheeked gibbon) is the source of this 1681-nucleotide RNA transcript. It is a transcript of the gene named ADP-sugar pyrophosphatase pseudogene, with no coding region annotated. The record is from RefSeq and is a predicted model, not a curated record. NCBI's taxonomy places the organism in Eukaryota, Metazoa, Chordata, Mammalia, Primates, Hylobatidae. The transcript has a single exon.